AGCUACAGUAAUUGAAGAUCCAACUGGCGUACGAGCAGCGGGCCGUCACAAACGCAGAGGCAGAAUCUGAGGUCCUGAGAAAGAGGCGUCGAGAGGCGGAGGCCGAAUGCCAGCGACUUCGUCGGGCUCUCCAGGAUGCGCUACUGAAAAAGGGAGAGCUAGAAGAAGAAGUUGAGAAUCUGAGGCAGUCCUGGAUAGGGGGUGGAGUAGAUAAUUCUAGGUCGGAAGGAGCAGAGCUUCCCUAGGGCUCUUCUUGGCCUUCCAUCUUCUCAUGUAUACAUUUUCCCUUUUGCUGUGUUGUCUCGCUUUUGUCGCUUUGCUUUUCUUCCUUUGGCCUUCUAGGCUUCGUGGUGUAUAUUUUGCAAAUAGAAUGAGAAGGAGAUUUUGUAUUACCUCAUCUGCAUA
This 405-nucleotide long non-coding RNA is filed under the name Elaeis guineensis (African oil palm). RNAcentral describes it as "long non-coding RNA (EGUI_LNC064418)". Lineage: Eukaryota; Viridiplantae; Streptophyta; Magnoliopsida; Arecales; Arecaceae. The record is from RNAcentral.